RNAcentral lists this ribosomal RNA (216 nucleotides) under Glomeromycotina sp. Its description in RNAcentral is "partial small subunit ribosomal RNA". The stretch from base 87 to 216 matches the Rfam family "Eukaryotic small subunit ribosomal RNA", at positions 733 to 864 of the family's 1831-position model. The record is from RNAcentral. Lineage: Eukaryota; Fungi; Glomeromycota.
GGGUCAGUAGGUUGGUCGUGCCACCGGUACGUACUGGUCUCACUGAUUCCUCCUUCCUGAAGAACCGUAAUGCCAUUAAUUGGGUGUUGCGGGGAAACAGGACUGUUACUUUGAAAAAAUUAGAGUGUUUAAAGCAAGCUAACGCUUGAAUACAUUAGCAUGGAAUAAUGAAAUAGGACGAUCGAUCCUAUUUUGUCGGUUUCUAGGAUUGACGUA